Molecule: ribosomal RNA, 447 nt
Filed under: uncultured bacterium
Lineage: Bacteria
Description: bacterial SSU rRNA
Rfam family: Bacterial small subunit ribosomal RNA
Source: RNAcentral
GAUCAUGGCUACAGAACGAACGCUGGCGGCAUGCCUAACACAUGCAAGUCGAACGAGACCUUCGGGUCUAGUGGCGCACGGGUGCGUAACGCGUGGGAAUCUGCCCUUCGGUUCGGAACAACAGUUAGAAAUGACUGCUAAUACCGGAUAAUGACGUAAGUCCAAAGAUUUAUCGCCGAAGGAUGAGCCCGCGUAAGAUUAGGUAGUUGGUGGGGUAAUGGCCUACCAAGCCGACGAUCUUUAGCUGGUCUGAGAGGAUGAUCAGCCACACUGGGACUGAGACACGGCCCAGACUCCUACGGGAGGCAGCAGUGGGGAAUAUUGGACAAUGGGCGAAAGCCUGAUCCAGCAAUGCCGCGUGAGUGAUGAAGGCCUUAGGGUUGUAAAGCUCUUUUACCAGGGAUGAUAAUGACAGUACCUGGAGAAUAAGCUCCGGCUAACUCCGUG